AACCGCCGUAUACCGAACGGUAUGUACGGUGGUGUGGAAGGUCGGCUAUCCAACUAAUGGAUAGCCUCCUAUCCGAU
RNAcentral lists this unclassified non-coding RNA (77 nucleotides) under Paenibacillus sophorae. Lineage: Bacteria; Bacillati; Bacillota; Bacilli; Caryophanales; Paenibacillaceae. The record is from RNAcentral.